UCCUACGGGAGGCAGCAGUAGGGAAUCUUCCACAAUGGACGAAAGUCUGAUGGAGCAACGCCGCGUGAGUGAAGAAGGGUUUCGGCUCGUAAAACUCUGUUGUUAAAGAAGAACACCUUGAGAGUAACUGUCAAGGGUGACGUUAUU
RNAcentral lists this ribosomal RNA (147 nucleotides) under uncultured Lactobacillus sp. RNAcentral describes it as "partial 16S ribosomal RNA". It matches the Rfam family "Bacterial small subunit ribosomal RNA", at positions 337 to 479 of the family's 1533-position model. Lineage: Bacteria; Bacillati; Bacillota; Bacilli; Lactobacillales; Lactobacillaceae. The record is from RNAcentral.